CGGCAGGCUAACACAUGCAAGGUCGAGGGGCAGGACCCGGGUAGCAAUACCUGGUGGCGACCGGCGCAAGGGUGCGUAACGCGUGAGCAACAUGCCCUAUACAGGGGGAUAAUCCAGGGAAACUUGGUCUAAUAUCCCAUAGUAUUUAGAGGAGGCAUCUUCUAUAAAUUAAAGCUUCGGUGGUAUUAGGAUUGGCUCGCGUGACAUUAGCUAGAUGGUGAGGUAACGGCUCACCAUGGCAAUGAUGUCUAGGGGUUCUGAGAGGAAGGCCCCCCACACUGGGACUGAGACCACGGCCCAGACUCCUACGGGAGGCAGCAGUGAGGAAUAUUGGACAAUGGAUGGAAAUCUGAUCCAGCCAUGCCGCGUGCAGGAAGACAGCCCUAUGGGUUGUAAACUGCUUUUAUAUGGGAGCAAUAAGGUCUACGUGUAGACUGAUGAGAGUACCAUAUGAAUAAGCAUCGGCUAACUCCGUG
This 476-nucleotide ribosomal RNA is filed under the name uncultured bacterium. Its description in RNAcentral is "bacterial SSU rRNA". It matches the Rfam family "Bacterial small subunit ribosomal RNA", at positions 40 to 507 of the family's 1533-position model. The record is from RNAcentral.